ACCCGGCUAGCUCAAUCGGCAGAGCGUGAGACUCUUAAUCUCAAGGUUGUGGGUUCGACCCCCACGUCGGGCU
RNAcentral lists this transfer RNA (73 nucleotides) under Geranomyces variabilis. RNAcentral describes it as "tRNA-Lys". It matches the Rfam family "tRNA". From Rfam's summary of the family: Transfer RNA (tRNA) molecules are approximately 80 nucleotides in length. Their secondary structure includes four short double-helical elements and three loops (D, anti-codon, and T loops). The record is from RNAcentral. Lineage: Eukaryota; Fungi; Chytridiomycota; Chytridiomycetes; Spizellomycetales; Powellomycetaceae.